This 434-nucleotide ribosomal RNA is filed under the name uncultured bacterium. RNAcentral describes it as "partial 16S ribosomal RNA". It matches the Rfam family "Bacterial small subunit ribosomal RNA", at positions 29 to 507 of the family's 1533-position model. The record is from RNAcentral.
AGCGAACGCUGGCGGCAGGCCUAACACAUGCAAGUCGAACGAACCUUUCGGGGUUAGUGGCGGACGGGUGAGUAACACGUGGGAACGUGCCUUUAGGUUCGGAAUAACUCAGGGAAACUUGUGCUAAUACCGAAUGUGCCCUUCGGGGGAAAGAUUUAUCGCCUUUAGAGCGGCCCGCUUCUGAUUAGCUAGUUGGUUGAGGUAAUGGCUCACCAAGGCGACGAUCAGUAGCUGGUCUGAGAGGAUGAUCAGCCACAUUGGGACUGAGACACGGCCCAAACUCCUACGGGAGGCAGCAGUGGGGAAUCUUGCGCAAUGGGCGAAAGCCUGACGCAGCCAUGCCGCGUGAAUGAUGAAGGUCUUAGGAUUGUAAAAUUCUUUCACCGGGGACGAUAAUGACGGUACCCGGAGAAGAAGCCCCGGCUAACUUCGUG